This 3348-nucleotide unclassified non-coding RNA is filed under the name Hevea brasiliensis (rubber tree). Lineage: Eukaryota; Viridiplantae; Streptophyta; Magnoliopsida; Malpighiales; Euphorbiaceae. The record is from RNAcentral.
GAAAAAAAAAAAAAAGCAAUAUACACAAAAAUACGUCUCUUAAAUCUGAUAAUCAAAAUUCACUUUUAUAUGAGCUCCAUAGAUCGAAGUCAUCAUCAUCUUCAUCAUACUUCAGAGGAUCUCCAUUCUGAUCUUCAACUGUUCCAUCCUCAUCUUGCUCAUCAGAUUUUGCCACUUCUUCCUGCCAGUAACAAUGCAAAUGGAUAGGUAAAUGUGAUUUUUUUUUUUCUUUCUUUUUUUUAGUGAAAAAAAGAAACUUCAAAUGUAGCAUAUGAAACCUGGAAUCUCUUAUCUCCCCAAUGGCAAUUUCCCUGUUGCAAAUUAGAUUGCUAAUAGCAUUUCAUGACGCAUAGCAUUAGUCAAAUGCUGUUACUUGUAUGUCUCUCACUUAAAUGAGAAGCAAUUGCAUCUCCAUAUUAACAGUUGGAGCAGAUUAAAAGAUCAAGAACAAAAGUUAAAAGGACUAGAUCAUUUUAGAACAGUUAAUUCAAUUUCUUCCAACAUUUUUCCCGAGUGAUUUUAGUACUCCAUAUGAAGAAAUAUAAUAGUAAAUAGCAUAUAUAUCAUCUCUUAGGAAUACAAGGGAAAGAACAAGAUGCUUACAUUAGUUUCAGGAUUCAACUCUGCCUCCUCAUCUGUCAAACUGACUGAGUUACCUCUGUUAGACUCUUGCUCCGCCUGAGCAGCAACUUGUUGCAGCUGCUCAAUCACUUUUUCAUAAUACGAAUGAUCUGCAAAAGAAAAUCAGGUCACAACACCAAAACUUUCAACACCCCACAUCUCACAGCAAUCAAGUUGAAUAUAACUUAAAUUUUACAAUAACUUGCUGCAAAAGAAAGUCCAACAUAAGCCACAUGCUGUCAUACAUUAGUGCAUGUUCUUUUCCCACCUUUUGCUAUAUGUGCGGACACACUGGUGAGAUUGUAGGUUUACACAAUUCAUGCAUACUGAAAAGGACAACACUUUCUGGAAAUCUAAUUCUAAUAUCAAGUCACAUCAAUGAAACUACAAAAAUUAUUUUGAGGCACACUAAUAAAAAAAACACGUCCAGGGCCUGUCACGCGUCAACAACCACCUUUGAUGACAAGCCAAAACAAAAAUCCAAAAUUCUGCAUUCACUUCUCACUUAACUAAAACCUCAACUAAUGCUGGAAAAUAAGGCGAACUACCUGUACAUUGAUCCAAGCUAAAGCUGAACGUGUUAAUCUUUGAAAAAUAUAGAAAUAAUUAUGUUCAACUAAACUUUGAUCAUAAAUUAGAAAGGGGGCAAGUGAACACUGGUUUCACCUUUAGCGCGACUAUUCAGAGCUUCAGAAAGCCUUAAUGGAUGUUGACGCUCCUCCUUCUUAAAUUUCAACUUUAUUUGAUGACGUGUUCGUCCAGGGAAAAGUUGUUGUAUCAUUGAUAGAUCAGUCCCAAAUUGCCGAAUUCCCUCAUAGAACAACUCUGUGUCUUGUUUUGACCAUCUUGCAGUUGGUGUUUUAUCCAUGAAGGAAUGGUAAUUGAAUAAGAAGUUUGAUUGAUCAUCAACGCAGCCUCCGUAUUGCUCUGAAAUACCAAUAUCCUCUUCAUUAUGAGAAUCCUUCCCAUGGAAAGAAUUGGUAGUGCUUUUAUUGGUUGAGGCAUUCUUUGAAGCUUUUGCCUCUUUAGUAGCUAAACUCUCCUUGUGCCCUGCAAGCAAAAUAAUAUCUUUGAAAGGCAUCUUCUGAAAAUCAAUUUCAUCUUCUGGUAUGCUAAGUAAACCUUUUAAUCUGUUUUUACGAAGAGUGGAAUGAGAAAACUUCUUGCGUGGCUGUUGAUUUGACUGUUCUGGUGGACCAUUGUCCCUCUUACGUCUUCUAACAGGUUUUUUUUCCUGUUCAGCUGCAGUUUUCUUUGACUUUUUUGAAGCUCUUUUAUUGAUAGAUGUAUUUUCCACUCUAUCUUCAUUAUCAUUAUCUUCAUCCACUCUAUAAUCAUAAUCAUUAUCUCCUUCAUCCGCUAUAGAAUUACUAGGAGGUUCAGAAGGGAAGCCAUCACUAUCAAGGGCUUCAUCCUCCGGCGCAUCAAGUUGCGAAGCAGCAAUCCUUUUUCUCAACUGCCUUCCUGAUUUGCCACUUUCAUUCAUCUCACCAACUAAGGAAGAUUGUUUCGAAUUCUGAGAAAGCUUUGAUACUGAAGAAGACUUUAUUUUUCCAUUCUUGGAACUCUCCCUUGCAGGCACUCCAGGAAUAUCUUCUUGGUGCAAGAUAUUUUGGUCACCGGAGCAAGAAGCUUCUGCAAUUAUUCUUUCUUCAUUCAUUGGAAACUCAGAUGUAGUAGGAUCCGGGGAAAUAAAAUUGCUAAAGCUCAUGGAUGAAUAAUCAAGAACAUCCUCUGAUGGAAAGUUAGGAAGUGAGCCCUCAUCAAUGUACACAUUUUCAGAAGGAUCAAACUGAGCAUUUGGUGGAGGCACAAUAGACUCCACUGCAUCUGGAAGGAUGCUAGUACUAGGUUUAUCUUUGCCAUUUUGUACCAUGGGUUUUGGCUGGAUUUCUCUGGUACAAUGUUCCAAUGCAACGGCAGACUCAGACAAAUUGUCAAAACUUUUCAAGUUAGCGAACGAUCCUUGUUCCUGAAACUCUGACUUCGGCUUUCCAUUAUCAGUCUGAAGAGCAGUUCCAUUACAAGUUACUGCAUUUAGGAUUGCCUGACUGCAUGCACCGAGUGCUGAAGAAUUAACAGAAUUUUGAGCCAGAAAUCUAGAAUGUCCCUCUGUUUCCUCCUCAUUUGAAGUAGCAAGUGGAAUUUCUGUCCUGCUUGGGGAAUGGGUAACAAAAUCAUGAAUAUAUUCCAACUCUGAAAAUAUGUCUGCAUUCUCUCCCAUUGAUUUUCCCAACCCAGAAUGUGAAUCUCUGUCAACAACACCUAAAUGCAGAGCAUCAUCAGAGGCAACUAAAUGGGAAUAAUUUGCUAAACCUGAACUUCUGUCAACAUUGGAUAAUACAACUCCAGAAUUUGUGCAGUGAUCAGUUCUCGAGACCUCAUUGUUUUCCAUGCUCUCCAGGGUAGUUAAAGAUGAAUAAACUGAAUCCAUCAAUCUACCAUCUCCAACAUUAAUAAAUUUAGAAGACUGCAGGUUAUUUGAGACAGUGGACACUACUCUAGCCGGCCCUUCCACUGUAGCACCAGAAACAGCAAAAGCAACAGCCUCAGAUGUUCCCUUCCUCAGCCGGGUCUUUCCCCUAGGUUGAAAUUUGCCACCAGCCCUCACAUUGCUUAUAGCAGGUGGGAGAACAAUAUCAUCAAAUGGGUCCAAAUCAAGCCCUAUUGAAUUGACCUCUGCAAGCUGAGCAUCAUUGGAGCUCAUAUCCUCUUUGGGCACAUGUU